GAUGAACGCUAGCUACAGGCUUAACACAUGCAAGUCGAGGGGAAACGGCAUUGAGUGCUUGCACUCUUUGGACGUCGACCGGCGCACGGGUGAGUAACGCGUAUCCAACCUUCCCAUUACUGUGGGAUAACCUGCCGAAAGGCAGACUAAUACCGCAUAGUCUUCGAUGACGGCAUCAGAUUUGAAGUAAAGAUUUAUCGGUAAUGGAUGGGGAUGCGUCUGAUUAGCUUGUUGGCGGGGUAACGGCCCACCAAGGCUACGAUCAGUAGGGGUUCUGAGAGGAAGGUCCCCAACAUUGGAACUGAGACACGGUCCAAACUCCUACGGGAGGCAGCAGUGAGGAAUAUGGGUCAAUGGACGGAAGUCUGAACCAGCCAAGUAGCGUGCAGGAGGACGGCCCUAUGGGUGGUAAACUGCUUUUGUAUGGGGAUAAAGUUAGGGACGGGUCCCUAUUUGCAGGUACCAUACGAAUAAGGACCGGCUAAUUCCGUG
RNAcentral lists this ribosomal RNA (492 nucleotides) under uncultured bacterium. RNAcentral's name for it is "partial 16S ribosomal RNA". It matches the Rfam family "Bacterial small subunit ribosomal RNA", at positions 28 to 507 of the family's 1533-position model. The record is from RNAcentral.